AACUUACGCUAAUACCGCAUGCGCCCUUCGGGGAAGCCGGGACCUUCGGGCCUGGCGCGAUUGGAUGAGCCCACGUCGGAUUAGCUAGUUGGCGGGUAAAGGCCCACCAAGGCGACGAUCCGUAGCUGGUCUGAGAGGAUGAUCAGCCACACUGGAACUGAGACACGGUCCAGACUCCUACGGGAGGCAGCAGUAGGGAAUAUUGGACAAUGGGCGCAAGCCUGAUCCAGCCAUGCCGCGUGAGUGAAGAAGGCCCUCGGGUUGUAAAGCUCUUUUGUCCGGAAAGAAAAGCGCCGGGUUAAUACCCUGGUGUCCUGACGGUACCGGAAGAAUAAGCACCGGCUAACUUCGUG
Molecule: ribosomal RNA, 353 nt
Filed under: uncultured bacterium
Lineage: Bacteria
Description: bacterial SSU rRNA
Rfam family: Bacterial small subunit ribosomal RNA
Source: RNAcentral